GUUUCUGGCAUUCUGCACCAAAUGGAGACCGCCAUGGGUCCUCCACCCUCAAAAAACCCUACCACCUCCACCGAACCCCAAAUACAAACUCUAAGCCUUGACGAACCCUCUAACUCUGCAAAACCAAUCUCAUCCAUGGGUCCUCCGCCUCCCAAAAAGCCUGCCACCUCCGCAGACUCACCAUCCCAAACCCUAACCCUAGACGAACCCUCAACUUCUGCAAAUCCAAAGGUGCCCAUGGGUCCUCCACCUCCCAAAUCCCAACCCACCGUCCAACCAAAUUCAAGCCCUACCCCUUUCUUCGAACCCUGUACUGAAGUCUCCGAACCCAGUACUGAAGUCUCCGAACCCCGUACCGAAGUCUCCGAACCCUGUACUGAAGUCUCCGAACCCAGUACUGAAGCCUCCGAACCCAGUACUGAAGCCUCCGAACCCAGAACUGAAGCCUCCGAACCCAGUACUGAAGCCUCCGAAAGCUCUGCAAUGCAGCCCAGUAAUAAUUCUACUCACCACCAGAAGACUCAGAGUGCUGCAGUUCCUUAUACGAUUCCUUCGUGGAGCG
This 562-nucleotide long non-coding RNA is filed under the name Vitis vinifera (wine grape). Its description in RNAcentral is "long non-coding RNA (VVIN_LNC004785)". The record is from RNAcentral. Lineage: Eukaryota; Viridiplantae; Streptophyta; Magnoliopsida; Vitales; Vitaceae.